GGGGCGUGGCUUGAACCGGCUCGGAAUUCCGGGUAUACCAUUCAACACUACGCAUUGUCCAAUCAGCGGCUGCGAGUCUUGUGCGUAGGCAGAGAUCAUCUUAUCUGUGAAGUGCUCCUCUGAGGAAGUGGCCAAUGGCGUGAAGGGCUGGGCAUGGGGACCUUGUGGCACUAGGAUGCACCGUAUGUUGUUUGGUGUGGUAUUAUUUUUUUCAAUUUAAUUAUUUUAAAUUGUUUGUAACCAAUAAUUGUUUUUGUGUGUAAAACUGCUGAUCUGAAACACAAUUUAAUUCUAUGCAACUUUCUAAUAUAAAAGCAAUUAUAGUCUUUUAA
Molecule: long non-coding RNA, 332 nt
Organism: Xenopus tropicalis (tropical clawed frog)
Lineage: Eukaryota; Metazoa; Chordata; Amphibia; Anura; Pipidae
Exons: 2
Source: RefSeq, a predicted model, not a curated record